Molecule: transfer RNA, 71 nt
Filed under: Loxodonta africana (African savanna elephant)
Lineage: Eukaryota; Metazoa; Chordata; Mammalia; Proboscidea; Elephantidae
Rfam family: tRNA
About the family: Transfer RNA (tRNA) molecules are approximately 80 nucleotides in length. Their secondary structure includes four short double-helical elements and three loops (D, anti-codon, and T loops). Further hydrogen bonds mediate the characteristic L-shaped molecular structure. tRNAs have two regions of fundamental functional importance: the anti-codon, which is responsible for specific mRNA codon recognition, and the 3' end, to which the tRNAs corresponding amino acid is attached (by aminoacyl-tRNA synthetases). tRNAs cope with the degeneracy of the genetic code in two manners: having more than one tRNA (with a specific anti-codon) for a particular amino acid; and 'wobble' base-pairing, i.e. permitting non-standard base-pairing at the 3rd anti-codon position.
Source: Rfam by way of RNAcentral
GCAUUGGUGGUUCAGUGGUAGAAUUCCGUUCUUUCAUGCAGGAGACCUGGGUUCAGUUCCCAGCCAAUGCA